CCUACGGGAGGCAGCAGUGAGGAAUAUUGGUCAAUGGGCGCAAGCCUGAACCAGCCAAGCCGCGUGAAGGAUGACUGCCCUACGGGUUGUAAACUUCUUUUGUAAAGGAGUAAAGUCAGGUACGUGUGCCUGUUUGUAUGUACCUUAUGAAUAAGGAUCGGCUAACUCCGUGCCAGCAGCCGCGGUAAUACGGAGGAUCCAAGCGUUAUCCGGAUUUAUUGGGUUUAAAGGGAGCGUAGAUGGGUGGUUAAGUCAGUUGUGAAAGGUUGCGGCUCAACCGUAAAAUUGCAAUUGAUACUGGCAGUCUAGAGUACAGUUGAGGUAGGCGGAAUUCGUGGUGUAGCGGUGAAAUGCUUAGAUAUCACGAAGAACACCGAUUGCGAAGGCAGCUUACUAAACUGCUACUGACAUUGAGGCUCGAAAGUGUGGGGAGCAAACAGGAUUAGAUACCCCAGUAGUC
This 460-nucleotide ribosomal RNA is filed under the name uncultured bacterium. Its description in RNAcentral is "partial 16S ribosomal RNA". It matches the Rfam family "Bacterial small subunit ribosomal RNA", at positions 338 to 795 of the family's 1533-position model. The record is from RNAcentral.